CCCAGUAAACGGCGGCCGUAACUAUAACGGUCCUAAGGUAGCGAAAUUCCUUGUCAGGUAAGUUCUGACCCGCACGAAAGGCGUAAUGAUUUGGGCACUGUCUCAACAGCCCGCCCGGCGAAAUUGUAGUACUGGUGAAGAUACCAGUUACCCGCAACUAGACGGAAAGACCCCAUGGAGCUUUACUGCAGCUUAAUACUGGAAUUCGGUAACCCAUGUACAGGAUAGGUGGGAGGCUUGGAAGCAGGGGCGUCAGCUCUUGUGGAGCCGCCGGUGGGAUACCACUCUUGGAUUGCUGAAUUUCUAACCUGCGGCCGUGAAUCCGGUCGGGGGACACUGUUAGGCGGGCAGUUUGACUGGGGCGGUCGCCUCCUAAAGAGUAACGGAGGCGCUCAAAGGUUGGCUCAGCACGGACGGAAAUCGUGCAGUGAGUGUAAACGUAGAAGCCAGCCUAACUGCGAGACCGACGGGUCGAGCAGUAACGAAAGUUGGAGUUAGUGAUCCGGUGGUAUGUGAGUGGAAAUGCCAUCGCUCAACGGAUAAAAGCUACCCUGGGGAUAACAGGCUGAUCUCCCCCAAGCGUCCACAGCGACGGGGAGGUUUGGCACCUCGAUGUCGGCUCGUCACAUCCUGGGGCUGAAUUCGGUCCCAAGGGUUCGGCUGUUCGCCGAUUAAAGUGGCACGCGAGCUGGGUUCAGAACGUCGUGAGACAGUUCGGUCCCUAUCUGUUGCGGGCGGAAGAGAUUUGAAGGGAGCUGUCCUUAGUACGAGAGGACCGGGAUGGACGUACCUCUGGUGCACCAGUUGUCCUGCCAAGGGCAUAGCUGGGUAGCUAAGUACGGACGAGAUAAACGCUGAAAGCAUCUAAGCGUGAAACUCCCCCUAAGAUGAGAUCUCUCACCUCGAAAGAGGGUAAGGGCCCAGGAAGACUACCUGGUAGAUAGGCCGGAGGUGGAAGUGCAGUAAUGUAUGGAGCUGACCGGUACUAAUAGCCCGAGGGCUUGACCUA
RNAcentral lists this ribosomal RNA (1009 nucleotides) under human gut metagenome. Its description in RNAcentral is "bacterial LSU rRNA". It matches the Rfam family "Bacterial large subunit ribosomal RNA", at positions 1919 to 2925 of the family's 2925-position model. The record is from RNAcentral.